Molecule: ribosomal RNA, 253 nt
Filed under: uncultured bacterium
Lineage: Bacteria
Description: partial 16S ribosomal RNA
Rfam family: Bacterial small subunit ribosomal RNA
Source: RNAcentral
UACAGACGGUCCAAACGUUAUUCGGAAUCACUGGGCUUAAAGAGUUCGUAGGCGGUCAGGAAAGUGGGGUGUGAAAGCCCUCGGCUUAACCGAGGAAUUGCGCUCCAAACUCCCUGACUUGAGGAGGCUAGAGGUAAGCGGAACUGAUGGUGGAGCGGUGAAAUGCGUUGAUAUCAUCAGGAACACCGGAGGCGAAGGCGGCUUACUGGGGCAUUUCUGACGCUGAGGAACGAAAGCUAGGGGAGCGAACGGG